UAAUUCGAAGCAACGCGAAGAACCUUACCAGGUCUUGACAUCCUCUUGACCUCCCUAGAGAUAGGGAUUUCCCUUCGGGGACAGGAGUGACAGGUGGUGCAUGGUUGUCGUCAGCUCGUGUCGUGAGAUGUUGGGUUAAGUCCCGCAACGAGCGCAACCCUUGACCUUAGUUGCCAGCAUUCAGUUGGGCACUCUAAGGUGACUGCCGGUGACAAACCGGAGGAAGGUGGGGAUGACGUCAAAUCAUCAUGCCCCUUAUGACCUGGGCUACACACGUGCUACAAUGGAUGGUACAAAGGGCUGCAAGACCGCGAGGUUUAGCCAAUCCCAUAAAACCAUUCUCAGUUCGGAUUGUAGGCUGCAACUCGCCUACAUGAAGCCGGAAUCGCUAGUAAUCGCGGAUCAGCAUGCCGCGGUGAAUACGUUCCCGGGCCUUGUACACACCGCCCGU
This 451-nucleotide ribosomal RNA is filed under the name Bacillus sp. (in: firmicutes). Its description in RNAcentral is "bacterial SSU rRNA". It matches the Rfam family "Bacterial small subunit ribosomal RNA", at positions 947 to 1397 of the family's 1533-position model. Lineage: Bacteria; Bacillati; Bacillota; Bacilli; Caryophanales; Bacillaceae. The record is from RNAcentral.